GUGUCAGCAGCCGCGGUAAUACGAACCGUGCGAACGUUGUUCGGAAUCACUGGGCUUAAAGGGCGCGUAGGCGGGCGGGCAAGUCGGAGGUGAAAGCCCCCAGCUCAACUGGGGAAGUGCCCUCGAUACUGCCGGCCUGGAGGGAGGUAGGGGCGUGCGGAACUUCCGGUGGAGCGGUGAAAUGCGUAGAUAUCGGAAGGAACACCGGUGGCGAAGGCGGCACGCUGGGCCUCUCCUGACGCUGAGGCGCGAAAGCCAGGGGAGCGAACGGGAUUAGAAACCCCGGUAGUCC
This 292-nucleotide ribosomal RNA is filed under the name uncultured bacterium. Its description in RNAcentral is "partial 16S ribosomal RNA". It matches the Rfam family "Bacterial small subunit ribosomal RNA", at positions 505 to 796 of the family's 1533-position model. The record is from RNAcentral.